RNAcentral lists this ribosomal RNA (492 nucleotides) under uncultured bacterium. RNAcentral describes it as "partial 16S ribosomal RNA". It matches the Rfam family "Bacterial small subunit ribosomal RNA", at positions 29 to 507 of the family's 1533-position model. The record is from RNAcentral.
AGUGAACGCUGGCGGUAGGCCUAACACAUGCAAGUCGAACGGCAGCACAGUAAGAGCUUGCUCUUACGGGUGGCGAGUGGCGGACGGGUGAGGAAUACAUCGGAAUCUACUUUUUCGUGGGGGAUAACGUAGGGAAACUUACGCUAAUACCGCAUACGACCUACGGGUGAAAGCAGGGGAUCUUCGGACCUUGCGCGAUUGAAUGAGCCGAUGUCGGAUUAGCUAGUUGGCGGGGUAAAGGCCCACCAAGGCGACGAUCCGUAGCUGGUCUGGGAGGAGGUUCGGCCACACUGGAACUGGAACACGGUCCAGGCUCCUACGGGAGGCAGCAGUGGGGAAUAUUGGACAAUGGGCGCAAGCCUGAUCCAGCCAUACCGCGUGGGUGAAGAAGGCCUUCGGGUUGUAAAGCCCUUUUGUUGGGAAAGAAAAGCAGCAGGUUAAUACCCCGCUGUUCUGACGGUACCCAAAGAAUAAGCACCGGCUAACUUCGUG